Molecule: long non-coding RNA, 947 nt
Organism: Oncorhynchus keta (chum salmon)
Lineage: Eukaryota; Metazoa; Chordata; Actinopteri; Salmoniformes; Salmonidae
Exons: 4
Source: RefSeq, a predicted model, not a curated record
GCAUUGGAAAAACAGCCACUCUUCUACACCUAUCAGAGGAACAAGAUGGACAGUUCAGAGGACAGAGUGGAAGAAACACAGCACAAGCCCAAUCCACCAGGAGAGGACAGACUCACCUGUACCCAGCUGUACGUCCAUGCAGAGUGAUCAUUCUAUGGAUUUUCCAUUACAAUUUAGAGACUUCCCAAUUGCUCAAAGAUACCAACAGGAGAGAUUAAAGUCAGAGAUUCCCAGUUAUCAGAGUCAAACAGAUCUGUCCUUCAUAUUUAAGUCGCUUGAAGACAACAUCAUCACUUUUGUGAAGAGAGAACUGAAGAGAUUCAAGAACAUUUUGAGUCCAGAUCUUCCAGAAUGCAUUGAGAAUUAGGAGGAUGAAGAAUUAGUGGAUGCCAAAGAAGUGAGGCAGGACAGCAGUGCCAGAGAGGGGGCUCUGAAGAUCACACUGCAAAUUCUGAGGAACAUGGAUGGACCAACAGGAGCUCGCUGACACACUGGAGAAAAGUAAGGGUUCUCUGAUAGUCUUUACAAUCUUUUAUGUCCACAAGGCAGACACUUUCAUUACAGGAAUCAUGAGGAUAAUGCACUUAACUGUUUGACCAAAUUAUGGUUUUAGCUGUCCAAACAUAUGAAGUUUUGAUUGAGGUGACAAUGUAGAAUGUGCUCUUCAUACAUUUAUAGGCACCCUUUUAAAAAAUGUACGAUCCAUGAUCUUGGCUGUCUAACUGAUGACUGUGGCCGUUGACUUCCUAUUAGCCAAAGGAUCAUUAUAGAUAAGUAUAACAAAGAAAUUGCGCAGAAAUAAAAAAUAUAUAAUUUUAUCAGGCCCACGGGUCGCCGGCUAUGUCACCAUUUUCAUUGUUUUAUUUUAUGUAAAAAAUUAUAUAUUUUUGUGUGUGUCAAUUUUGACCAGCCCACCUACCAAAAAUGGUCUAGCCCAUUUGGCAAUU